ACUGUCCCCAUCUGUGGGCAGAGGCCCCCUCUGAAGCAGGCCAGUGGACCCUCCUACGGAAGCAACUGCCGCUGGACUUGUAGCCCAAAGGCCUGGAUCUGACUGACUCCCAGGAUCGACCGUGUCCAAGGCGAGACCUGGGCACAUUAUUAGUGAACCUUUCUGAGAUUCAGUGGCCCCACCUGUGAGCUGGAGCGGAGGCAACCUCCCUGUCAGGGCAGCUAGGGAGUUCCAAGGAAGCACCUGACUCCCGGACCCGAGGAAGGCUGGCUGGAUCAGCAACAUCUGUACAGGGUGUGCCCUCCCUAGUCACCUAGCAGGUGGGGUGUCUUCUGGUCCCCUUCCCUGGGGGGAAGGGGCGCAGAACCCAGAAGUCAGCCUGCCACCUCGCCAGUGGUCCCUUCCAUUGCCACCCCUGUAGCUCCUGGUUACAGAGGGGGGAGUCUCCCUCUUUCAGGCCCCUAGGGUACCACCUGGAGAACUACAGGCCCAGAAAGAGUAGAAAAAGACGGAAGCUCAGUGUUAUAUUCUUUCUAGAUGAAUCUCCAGGCUGCAGCCACCGCCCCAGGCGAGUCCCGGGCCCGCAGCAAACCUGUCUGCUGUGGGUCUGUCUCAACAUGCUGCUUGGAAAGUCCAGAUUUUCAGUGUAAACUUUGUUCUCCCUGCCCUUUCUUCCGGGAUUCACAGAGGCAGCUCUCUCUGCAGCCCGAUCUGUCCCCAUCUCCUUGGUGCUGAAAGCCGAGGUCACACAUGUCCCCGUCAGAACAAGUCCUCAGUGCUGCUGUCCUUUGGGAGAGCGUAGAGCCUGGCCGGCCUUGGCCCCUGAGUUCGCCCGGGUGUCAGUUUCUCAGUGGCACUAUUUUUGGCAGACUUUUUUUUUUUUUUUAUCCUUGUUCUUUAUCACAGCCCCGUCGGGCAAAUGACAGCGGAAUUGCAAGCUUGAAUGGGCUUGUCUGACAGGCCAACUUUUAUCCUGGGCUCCGCUGCCUGACUUUUAGAAAGGAACUCCGAGCAGAGGAUGGUAAUUUCACACCGAUUCUUUGCUGUAAUUUGCUUUGGGGUUUAAAAUGUCGCGUUUCAAUCACUCUGGCUGCGUGGUGUAAGGGAGACGAGGAGCCACGCGUGUGGCUAAUGUGUUUGUAAUAGGCACACACAAAAGCGCUGCCUUGCUCUGAAGCAGCAGCACUGGAAACACUGACCAGCAGGCCAAGGCACUCUGUGGCAGGUAUAAACAAGUGCAUUAAAAAGGAACUCAUGAUAGAUUCCCCGCUCUGGCAGAAAAAGGGCUGCUUGUGACAGAAGCCUCACGGAGAACAUCUCCAUUCUUUCUAAUAAUUUAUUUUUAUUUUUGAAAAUUCUUUCGGCUGCUUCACAGAAUAUGGAGUUCCCCGGGGCCAGGGAUCAGACCCAUCUGAGCUGCCACUGCAACCAAUGCCAUAGCUGUGGCAAGCUAGACCCUCAACUCACUCUACUGGGCUGGGAAUCGAACCUGCGUCCUAGUGCUCCAGGGACAUGGCCUAUCCCAUUGCGCUGCAGUAGACACUCCAACAUCUCCAUUUUGCAAGCAUGUACUAGAAUAUCUUUAUGCCCCAGGCUGCAUUCAGCAGAGGAGCGGGGUGGUUUUAGGCAAACCCCCAAAGUAGGAGGGUCUGAAACCCGAGAUAGAUCUAAAGUCAGUGAGGCACAGAGAUGAGAUGCAGCUGAGGAUGCAACACUCAGCUUGGAUAAAGGGAAGCUGACAGGUUUAGACCAGAAGGGAAGGGAGUCUCCACACUGAUGAGAGCUGGUUAGGCUGUGUUUGGAGCGUCCUCUAAGGAAAAGGACCGAUGCUCCUAGAAAGGUCAGCAGACAUGGCUCUCCCCAGCCUAGAAUAGGAAGUGAUGGCUUUUCCUGAUUGAUAACCUGCCUGUGGAAGCAUCUGGCCUGUUCCUUCACUACUCUCACCACCCUCACGAUGGAGGCCACACUGCCUGAUGUUUGAUUAUUCUUCUUGGCCUCUACUGUUUCACGUUCCUUGCUCCCCACCUGGCCUAUAUGGGCCUUGAAGUCAGGAACCAAUAUCUAGCCAUCUCUGUGUGCCCCAAGGCUCCUUUCUGGGGCUCAGCACAAACUAAGACUCAGUAACUACCUGGAGGAUAUCAGAGCCCUUCAUGCAUGGCCCCCAAAGUUUCAGAAGUACCAGUGAGACUGCACCAGGGCCAGGUAGGUGAUUUUGAGGACAGCAAAUCCCAGCUCAUUCUUGGAGGCCUGUCAGGCUCCUGACAAUCUCUCCCACUCACCUUUUGUGCCUUCUUGGCCUCAGCACCAUCUGCUGUAUAUGCCAGCUGAGCAGCAUGGAAUGCUCCCAGGCCUCUGUGCCUUUGCACAUGCUGCUCCCUCUGCCUGGCUGCCCUUCCCUCAUUCUCCCAUCCAUGGACUUGUCUACUCAGCUCAUGGUCAGCCCUUCCUGCCUGACAGAGCUGUCCUGGGGGCAGAGCUGGUGAUGCCUCACUCUCUGGGUCCAGGGUACUUUCUGGAGGCCUGAUGUGGUAGCUGGACCAAUGGCCCUGCCAUCAGGCUGGCAGGUCUUCCUCUUCUGUUGGGCUGUGAGUGCCUUGUGGGUGGGACCCACCUUCCUCACCUCUCAGCUCUUGGCCCUCAGCACAGAGGUACCCAGUACAGGUUCAUCAAGUGACUGUGUUUCCCACAUUUGGCAGAUUGUGAUGCAGCAAGUAAUGUGGGGAUGGAGCAAAGGGGAUCCCACUGUGAGACCAAANNNNNNNNNNNNNNNNNNNNNNNNNNNNNNNCCACACACACACACACACACACACACACACACACACACACACACACACACACACACAGUCAGAGUUGGUGCUCUUUCCUUGAAGAAUGCUAAUACACCCAUAAACAUUUGGAGUCCUCAGAUCAUCUUAAAUUAUAGACUCUAACAGUCACAGGGAACAUGAAUUUCACAGAGUGCCACUUUCACACACAGCUAGACAAAUCUAAGCUUGACUGCCCUGCCUUACCCGUUCCUUCUCAUGGAAACCACAUAAGACUCUCACCCACAGGGCCUCCCAUCUCUCUAUGCCUCUUGAUGGACCCUGGUGCUUCCCCAUGUGGCCCUGCUUGGUAUGUUGCAUUCUCUCCAAGGAAGCAUAAGGAUGUCUUUAAAUUUUCUCCAUCCCUCUCUGCCUUGACUUGCAUCUGGUCUUACCAGACCCAAUCCGAGGUAAUAUGACAACAUAGAUUCGCUGAAGCCCAGUGCUCAGAAAACCCUGGGCCAGGCUUCAGAGAUGGGCCAAUGGGUGAUUGCUGCUGUUGCGUGUCACUCUGGCAGAGGCCACAGCACUCUCCUCUGGGAGAUCUGGGGCUGAUGGAAAUCAUGGCCAGCUUCUCAAGAAGCUUGGGCCAAAAGAACUCUUCCUUGCAUAAAACUGGGCUCAUCAUCAUCAGUAUAAACAUGACAUGGCCUUAACAGAGAGCCCAAGUGAACAGUGUUCUCAGUGAGAGCACAUGCUCACCCAGAGGAAGGGUGUUUAUUGGCUCCUUCAGGGCCCAGGGAAGGGGCACUCACCUUGUAGGGAAUGCCUAUGUCUGAGACAGAGCUCACCUUGGGGGAGAAGAGAACAACAACCUCUCGGAAGAGGGUUAAUUCACUCUUGGUGACUUGUGAAGUUGCAGAAUCACACAAUUAUAGAAUCUUAAAAGGUCAGAGGCUGGAAGGGAGAUAAGAAGCCAUCUGGGCUCAAAACCUCUUGUUUUAAGAAUAAAAAAAUAACAGGUGGGGUGGGCAAGGAAGGGUAGACAGGGGUGGGGUGGGGGGUUGGGAUGGAAAUGUUCUAAAAUCAGAACAUUUUGUGAUGAUGGCUGCACAACUAUAAAAAUAAUGAAAUUC
RNAcentral lists this long non-coding RNA (3880 nucleotides) under Sus scrofa (pig). RNAcentral describes it as "lncRNA (ENSSSCG00065077325.1)". Lineage: Eukaryota; Metazoa; Chordata; Mammalia; Artiodactyla; Suidae. The record is from RNAcentral.